AACAUGGCAGCAUGGAAGACAAUUUGGAUGGCGCUGAGAGACAGCUGAAAAUGCAGGACCACAGCCAAACCAUGAGUGUGUAAUCGAUAGAGCAGGACCAGUGUGAGGAGAGAUGUGCUAAUGAGAUGUAUAUCACUGAGGCCAGCUAAGCUUACUUGUCAGUAGUUGGAUCUUCUAGCCAAAGGACAGCACCUAAUAAAAUAAAGUUUUAAUGAAAAUGUGUGUCCUUA
This is a long non-coding RNA of Cyprinus carpio (common carp), 230 nucleotides long. Lineage: Eukaryota; Metazoa; Chordata; Actinopteri; Cypriniformes; Cyprinidae. The record is from Ensembl.